UGGGGAAUAUUGCACAAUGGGCGCAAGCCUGAUGCAGCCAUGCCGCGUGUGUGAAGAAGGCCUUCGGGUUGUAAAGCACUUUUAGCGGGGAGGAAGGCGAUAAGGUUAAUAACCUCAUCGAUUGACGUUACCCGCAGAAGAAGCACCGGCUAACUCCGUGCCAGCAGCCGCGGUAAUACGGAGGGUGCAAGCGUUAAUCGGAAUUACUGGGCGUAAAGCGCACGCAGGCGGUUUGUUAAGUCAGAUGUGAAAUCCCCGGGCUCAACCUGGGAACUGCAUCUGAUACUGGCAAGCUUGAGUCUCGUAGAGCGGGGUAGAAUUCCAGGUGUAGCGGUGAAAUGCGUAGAGAUCUGGAGGAAUACCGGUGGCGAAGGCGGCCCCCUGGACGAAGACUGACGCUCAGGUGCGAAAGCGUGGGGAGCAAACAGG
RNAcentral lists this ribosomal RNA (429 nucleotides) under Chloroflexota bacterium. RNAcentral describes it as "Chloroflexi bacterium partial 16S ribosomal RNA". It matches the Rfam family "Bacterial small subunit ribosomal RNA", at positions 355 to 776 of the family's 1533-position model. The record is from RNAcentral. Lineage: Bacteria; Bacillati; Chloroflexota.